GUUAAAACAUAUCAGUUUAAUCUGCUUGAGAAAGACAUUAUAAAGGUCAGAUAGUAUAGUUAUAACAUUUAUCAGCAGGGAUUAACCUUCUACUCGGUGGUAACCUGGAGGCCUUGAUCUAUAUUAGGGAUGUAACGAUUCACUCAACUCAAGAUUGGAUUGGAUUGGAUUGGAUUUGAUUCACGAUUCACGAUUUUGAUUUCACGAUUUGAUUUGAUUCACAAUUGUUUUUUUUUUUUUACAAAAUUAAAUUUAAGAUAAAUUAUGAAUUAAAUGUGUCCUUUUAUUAUUUCUUGGACAAAAUGCUGCACGUUUCUUUGUGAAACUGAAAUAUAACACUAUAAUAAUAUACUAAUAUAGCACUUGCAUAUUAUUGCUCUUUUGCUGGCUUUGAUUGUUUCUAUUGUCCUCAUUUAUAAGUCGCUUUGGAUAAAAGCGUCUGCUAAAUAACAAAAUUUAAAUAUAAUGUAAAUGUAAAUAACAAAACUAAAUUGAAAUUUUAUAACAAGCCCCAAAUCAAAUAAAUAACACAAAUAAAAUAAAUCUCUUCGUAUAAUUAAAAUAAGGCUUUGUCUGUGCUAUUUCCUUUUAAAAUGAGACGCAACCACUGCAUUUUAACAUCAUCCAAACAAAAAUGCUGCAUACAUGCAACAUGAGCAGUUUUUAAUAUAAAUUUUUUAAUAUAAAUUCGAAAUUAGAAGCAAAAACAGAAUGAUUUGACUUCAGUUUUGUGAAACUAUACAUAAAAAAAUAUCUGCAUGAAACAGAAACAGCAGACGAGCUGAACGAGACGCAGAUUCACUCUCUGCCAGCAGGUGGAGCUUAAAGCGUUUCCUUGGUUACCGCUGUAAACAAAGCAGCGCUGCACUUAUGAACUUUAAUACGCAUUAUACAGAGGCAAGACGAAAAGAAAAAAAUCUAAACUUUUCUGAGACAUGUCACAUUGGUCAGGGUGUUUAUUUUGCUUCAACCUGACUAAACAAAUGGUGUGAGUUUGGGGUGGGACCUGUUUCACAAACCAGUGGCAAAACCUCUCUUUGCGUUCGUCCUCAAAGGUACAUUUCAUUCAUAAAGUAAAAAGGAUUUGACUUUUGACUAUUGGGGUUACCCUUUCAUAAAAACAAAAAAAGUCUAUGGUAUUUCCUUUUUAUGUUUUAGUUACCUAAACAUGUGUGCUGUGUUUGUGUGUCUUAGGUUUUGAACAUUUCCUUUCUUCCAUAACAUUUUCAGUUUAUUCCAGCUCUAAAUACCAUACCCCUUGCCAGAGAAGAGCCCAGGAGAGAAAGCAUGCGUAGGUUGUUUUAAAAAAAAACUUGGUGAACUCCCCUGCUGUCUACACAGGCAGCUGGCUUUUAAGUCAGCAUCUUAGCUGACAUAAGUGAUCGAUCUGGAACAUUUCACAUAGACAUCAAUUCUCAGUGCAACAUAAAUAUUGAUUCUCACACAGAAUGCAC
Cyprinus carpio carpio is the source of this 1454-nucleotide long non-coding RNA. The record is from Ensembl. NCBI's taxonomy places the organism in Eukaryota, Metazoa, Chordata, Actinopteri, Cypriniformes, Cyprinidae.